CCUACGGGAGGCAGCAGUGGGGAAUAUUGCGCAAUGGGCGAAAGCCUGACGCAGCGACGCCGCGUGAGGGAUGAAGGUCUUCGGAUCGUAAACCUCUGUCAGCAGGGAAGAACGGUCACUGUGCUAAUCAGCAGUGAAUUGACGGUACCUGCAAAGGAAGCACCGGCUAACUCCGUGCCAGCAGACGCGGUAAUACGGAGGGUGCGAGCGUUAAACGGAAUUACUGGGCGUAAAGCGCUCGUAGGCGGUAUGUCAAGUCAAGGGUGAAAUCCCCGCGCUCAACGUGGGAACUGCCUUUGAAACUGGCAAACUUGAGUGUGUGUGAGGAUAGUGGAAUUUCAGGUGUAGGAGUGAAAUCCGUAGAUAUCUGGAGGAAAAUCAGUGGCGAAGGCGACUAUCUGGCACAUAACUGACGCUGAGGAGCGAAAGCGUGGGUAGCAAACAGGAUUAGAUACCCUGGUAGUC
RNAcentral lists this ribosomal RNA (465 nucleotides) under uncultured bacterium. Its description in RNAcentral is "partial 16S ribosomal RNA". It matches the Rfam family "Bacterial small subunit ribosomal RNA", at positions 338 to 795 of the family's 1533-position model. The record is from RNAcentral.